ACACUGAUGGUGAAGUGGUUAUCAUGCUUGCCUUCCAUAUCCGGUUCAUGAUAGCAAGCGGCAGGGGUUCGAUUCCCCUUCAGUGUA
Non-coding RNA from Termitomyces sp. T159_Od127, 87 nucleotides. Lineage: Eukaryota; Fungi; Basidiomycota; Agaricomycetes; Agaricales; Lyophyllaceae. The record is from the annotation of a GenBank genome assembly.